UGGUAUUGAUUGGUGCUUGCAUCAUGAUUUACAUUUGAGUGAGUGGCGAACUGGUGAGUAACACGUGGGAAACCUGCCCAGAAGCGGGGGAUAACACCUGGAAACAGAUGCUAAUACCGCAUAACAACUUGGACCGCAUGGUCCGAGUUUGAAAGAUGGCUUCGGCUAUCACUUUUGGAUGGUCCCGCGGCGUAUUAGCUAGAUGGUGGGGUAACGGCUCACCAUGGCAAUGAUACGUAGCCGACCUGAGAGGGUAAUCGGCCACAUUGGGACUGAGACACGGCCCAAACUCCUACGGGAGGCAGCAGUAGGGAAUCUUCCACAAUGGACGAAAGUCUGAUGGAGCAACGCCGCGUGAGUGAAGAAGGGUUUCGGCUCGUAAAACUCUGUUGUUAAAGAAGAACAUAUCUGAGAGUAACUGUUCAGGUAUUGACGGUAUUUAACCAGAAAGCCACGGCUAACUACGUGCCAGCAGCCGCGGUAAUACGUAGGUGGCAAGCGUUGUCCGGAUUUAUUGGGCGUAAAGCGAGCGCAGGCGGUUUUUUAAGUCUGAUGUGAAAGCCUUCGGCUCAACCGAAGAAGUGCAUCGGAAACUGGGAAACUUGAGUGCAGAAGAGGACAGUGGAACUCCAUGUGUAGCGGUGAAAUGCGUAGAUAUAUGGAAGAACACCAGUGGCGAAGGCGGCUGUCUGGUCUGUAACUGACGCUGAGGCUCGAAAGUAUGGGUAGCAAACAGGAUUAGAUACCCUGGUAGUCCAUACCGUAAACGAUGAAUGCUAAGUGUUGGAGGGUUUCCGCCCUUCAGUGCUGCAGCUAACGCAUUAAGCAUUCCGCCUGGGGAGUACGGCCGCAAGGCUGAAACUCAAAGGAAUUGACGGGGGCCCGCACAAGCGGUGGAGCAUGUGGUUUAAUUCGAAGCUACGCGAAGAACCUUACCAGGUCUUGACAUACUAUGCAAAUCUAAGAGAUUAGACGUUCCCUUCGGGGACAUGGAUACAGGUGGUGCAUGGUUGUCGUCAGCUCGUGUCGUGAGAUGUUGGGUUAAGUCCCGCAACGAGCGCAACCCUUAUUAUCAGUUGCCAGCAUUAAGUUGGGCACUCUGGUGAGACUGCCGGUGACAAACCGGAGGAAGGUGGGGAUGACGUCAAAUCAUCAUGCCCCUUAUGACCUGGGCUACACACGUGCUACAAUGGAUGGUACAACGAGUUGCGAACUCGCGAGAGUAAGCUAAUCUCUUAAAGCCAUUCUCAGUUCGGAUUGUAGGCUGCAACUCGCCUACAUGAAGUCGGAAUCGCUAGUAAUCGCGGAUCAGCAUGCCGCGGUGAAUACGUUCCCGGGCCUUGUACACACCGCCCGUCACACCAUGAGAGUUUGUAACACCCAAA
Molecule: ribosomal RNA, 1385 nt
Filed under: unidentified
Description: bacterial SSU rRNA
Rfam family: Bacterial small subunit ribosomal RNA
Source: RNAcentral